This 85-nucleotide transfer RNA is filed under the name Photobacterium profundum. RNAcentral describes it as "RNA-Leu (CAA)". It matches the Rfam family "tRNA". Rfam says of the family: Transfer RNA (tRNA) molecules are approximately 80 nucleotides in length. Their secondary structure includes four short double-helical elements and three loops (D, anti-codon, and T loops). Lineage: Bacteria; Pseudomonadati; Pseudomonadota; Gammaproteobacteria; Vibrionales; Vibrionaceae. The record is from RNAcentral. RNAcentral also lists the same sequence under 2 other names.
GCCCGAGUGGUGAAAUUGGUAUACACGACGGAUUCAAAAUCCGUUUCCUUCGGGAGUGUCGGUUCAAGUCCGACCUUGGGCACCA